This 555-nucleotide long non-coding RNA is filed under the name Fukomys damarensis (Damara mole-rat). Its description in RNAcentral is "lncRNA (ENSFDAG00000023295.1)". Lineage: Eukaryota; Metazoa; Chordata; Mammalia; Rodentia; Bathyergidae. The record is from RNAcentral.
AUUCUGUUAUUUCUGUUCUUUCUUCGUGUGAAGAAGAAUUAUAUAUUUGAACCUUACCAUGGAAACACUCAUUCUCAAGGUUUAUAAAUGCACUGUCCCUGAGGUCUAAAGUGACUUGAGAAAGCAUAUGUAACGUUCAUUCCUUCACUUACUCCGCCAAGGUUUGGGUGGCCUUCUAUGGUAAGUGUGGCAGUGCGUUCAGUGCUACGGAGGCACACGAGAGAAUAUUCUGGAUUUGAUUAAAGUUCUCUGAAAAGCUGAACUCUGUUUUUUUAGAUAAAUGAACUGUGCAGAGAUAUUUGAAGGGAGUAGAGAGAAGAACCCUGGCCCAGUUACCUGAACAUCUCAUACCUGAUAAACCCAGCGUACCACAGGAGCCCAGUCGCUUGGGUCCCUCCCCCAUGAACAAGAGAAAGAGGGCUUCUAUGAGACUCCUAGGCUCCUAGAUGAAAAUUAAAGCCCACUGGAAAAAUAAAGAAAAUCUGUGAUGAAGUCGCAAGACACCAUCAUAGUUGGUAAGUUGGAGAGACCAGAACCUCAUAUUGGAACUUUCAA